RNAcentral lists this ribosomal RNA (559 nucleotides) under uncultured Cupriavidus sp. RNAcentral's name for it is "partial 16S ribosomal RNA". It matches the Rfam family "Bacterial small subunit ribosomal RNA", at positions 366 to 920 of the family's 1533-position model. Lineage: Bacteria; Pseudomonadati; Pseudomonadota; Betaproteobacteria; Burkholderiales; Burkholderiaceae. The record is from RNAcentral.
GGGGGGGGGGCAGCCUGAUCCAGCAUGCCGCGUGUGUGAAGAAGGCCUUCGGGUUGUAAAGCACUUUUGUCCGGAAAGAAAACGCUCUGGUUAAUACCUGGGGCGGAUGACGGUACCGGAAGAAUAAGCACCGGCUAACUACGUGCCAGCAGCCGCGGUAAUACGUAGGGUGCGAGCGUUAAUCGGAAUUACUGGGCGUAAAGCGUGCGCAGGCGGUUUUGUAAGACAGGCGUGAAAUCCCCGAGCUCAACUUGGGAAUUGCGCUUGUGACUGCAAGGCUAGAGUAUGUCAGAGGGGGGUAGAAUUCCACGUGUAGCAGUGAAAUGCGUAGAGAUGUGGAGGAAUACCGAUGGCGAAGGCAGCCCCCUGGGACGUCACUGACGCUCAUGCACGAAAGCGUGGGGAGCAAACAGGAUUAGAUACCCUGGUAGUCCACGCCCUAAACGAUGUCAACUAGUUGUUGGGGAUUCAUUUCUUCAGUAACGUAGCUAACGCGUGAAGUUGACCGCCUGGGGAGUACGGUCGCAAGAUUAAAACUCAAAAAAAUUGUGACGGGGAG